UACAGAGGGUGCAAGCGUUAAUCGGAAUUACUGGGCGUAAAGCGCACGUAGGUGGAUAUUUAAGUCGGAUGUGAAAUCCCCGGGCUCAACCUGGGAAUUGCAUUCGAUACUGUGUAUCUAGAGUAUGGUAGAGGGAAGUGGAAUUUCCGGUGUAGCGGUGAAAUGCGUAGAUAUCGGAAAGAACACCAGUGGCGAAGGCGGCUUCCUGGACCAAUACUGACACUGAGGUGCGAAAGCGUGGGGAGCAAACAGG
This 253-nucleotide ribosomal RNA is filed under the name uncultured bacterium. Its description in RNAcentral is "partial 16S ribosomal RNA". It matches the Rfam family "Bacterial small subunit ribosomal RNA", at positions 524 to 776 of the family's 1533-position model. The record is from RNAcentral.